UACGUAGGGGGCUAGCGUUGUCCGGAAUCAUUGGGCGUAAAGCGCGUGUAGGCGGUCCGGUAAGUCCGCUGUGAAAGUCGAGGGCUCAACCCUCGAAUGCCGGUGGAUACUGUCGGGCUAGAGUACGGAAGAGGCGAGUGGAAUUCCUGGUGUAGCGGUGAAAUGCGCAGAUAUCAGGAAGAACACCCGUGGCGAAGGCGGCUCUCUGGGACGGUACUGACGCUGAGACGCGAAAGCGUGGGGAGCGAACAGG
RNAcentral lists this ribosomal RNA (253 nucleotides) under uncultured bacterium. RNAcentral describes it as "partial 16S ribosomal RNA". It matches the Rfam family "Bacterial small subunit ribosomal RNA", at positions 524 to 776 of the family's 1533-position model. The record is from RNAcentral.